GAUGAACGCUGGCGGCGUGCCUAAUACAUGCAAGUCGAGCGAACAGAUGAGGAGCUUGCUCCUCUGACGUUAGCGGCAGACGGGUGAGUAACACGUGUAUAACCUACCUAUAAGACUGGGAUAACUUCGGGAAACCGGAGCUAAUACCGGAUAAUAUAUUGAACCGCAUGGUUCAAUAGUGAAAGACGGUGUUGCUGUAACUUCUCGAUGGAUCGCCGCCGCAUUAGCUAGUUGGUAAGUUAAUGGUUUAUCAAGGGAAGGAUGCGUAGCCGAGCUGAGGGGGGGAUAGGCCACACUGGAAGUGAGACACGCACCAGAGUACUGCGGGAGGCAGCAGUAGGGUAUCUUCCGCAAUGGGCGAGAGCAUGACGGAGCAGCGCCACGCGAGUGAUGACAGUCUCCGGAGCGUAAAACUCUGUUAUUAGGGAAAAACCACUGUGUAAGUAACUAUGCACGUCUUGACGGUAAUUAAUCAGAAAGCCACGGCUAACUACGUG
RNAcentral lists this ribosomal RNA (497 nucleotides) under uncultured bacterium. RNAcentral's name for it is "partial 16S ribosomal RNA". It matches the Rfam family "Bacterial small subunit ribosomal RNA", at positions 28 to 507 of the family's 1533-position model. The record is from RNAcentral.